GGUGCCGGGCCGGUAGCGGUGC
RNAcentral lists this unclassified non-coding RNA (22 nucleotides) under Mus musculus (house mouse). RNAcentral describes it as "oocyte_clustered_small_RNA10967". The record is from RNAcentral. Lineage: Eukaryota; Metazoa; Chordata; Mammalia; Rodentia; Muridae.